AAAAUUUAAAGCUUAACUUUAAAAAAAUAUACAAUACUGUUUUACUUGAGUUUUAUACGGAAGAGUAGAAUUUCAUGUUAAGGAGUAAAUUCCAAGAAUACAUGAAGGAAUAUCAUUAGCGAAGGCGACUCUUUAGUACAAACUGACAUUGAGGGACGAAAGUGUAGGGAGCAAACAGGAUUAGAUACCCUGGUAGUCUACACUGUAAAUUCUGAGUGCUGUAAUUUAGAAAAUAAAUUUUGGAUUUUUUAAGCUAACGCCAUAAGCAUUCCGCCUGAGGAGUACGAUUGCAAAAUUGGAACUCAAAGGAAUUGACGGGAGCCUACAACGAGUGGUGGAGCAUGUGGUUUAAUGCGAUAAUCCGCGCAAAACCUUACCAACCCUUGACAUAUUGAAAAAUAAUUUAAACUAA
Molecule: ribosomal RNA, 412 nt
Filed under: Skeletonema marinoi
Lineage: Eukaryota; Bacillariophyta; Thalassiosirophyceae; Thalassiosirales; Thalassiosiraceae
Description: partial Bacterial small subunit ribosomal RNA
Rfam family: Bacterial small subunit ribosomal RNA
Source: RNAcentral